Molecule: long non-coding RNA, 1549 nt
Organism: Cephus cinctus (wheat stem sawfly)
Lineage: Eukaryota; Metazoa; Arthropoda; Insecta; Hymenoptera; Cephidae
Exons: 3
Source: RefSeq, a predicted model, not a curated record
AGCGUGCCUUCAAGAUGAAACCGCGAAGGAAUGAUCUCCGUGACGAUGGAAGGUCGAUGAGCGUCAUAAAUCUGCUGAAGAAAUAAAUAUAAAAAAAUAUGUGAAAAAUAAGAAACAAAAUUGAGACAGUCCCGUGCACAAGAGCCUGCGUUACGGAAUGAGCAAUUUUUUCUUCGACCAAUACGUUACUACAGUGACCAGAAUUGACACAGUAAAAGAAAUGGACUCGACAAGAGUACCUGAGCCGCAGUAACAGACGGAAUGCCUAUCUCGAGUGGGACUUAAAAGUGGGGAGCAGGGAAGGUGCGAGGCGCCAGACCGGCUUUGACUUCCGCAUUACAGUUAUGUCACGUUAUCCCAGGAAGAUGCUAAGCCUGGCCUGAUGUCAUCGUCUAAUGACAUCAGACAAGUAUCACGCAAGCCAUUCAAGAGAAUUCCUUGCGAAUCGUAGUUACCAACUUCAAGAGGACGAGGAUGAUUUCUUCCUUGUUCUGUUAUUGCUGAUGCUCUUAAGUCACGUCAGGAUCAUCAGCAUGAAGACUGAAUCGCGAACGCAAAAAUGCUAAUGUUUGUGGAAGAGAAUUUUAUUAUCUUUUAUAAGUUUAUUUUCUGAUCUUAUCAUGGAGCGUCAUUUCCAUCGUCACGAUCGUCAUCGUCGACGUUGUCUCUUUUUGAAAUUCUCCGUGAAUUAACGAAACAAAGCAGUAACGAUAAAGCCAAGGGAGUCCGAGUAAAGCGAAGCGUCGGAAAAAACUGUAUACCGUCGAUCGCUCGUGUUACGUCACGCUAGUUAUCGGUCAACUAGGAAAUCAGGGAUCGAACGAUGCUCGAAGAGGAUACAACGGCCUCCAGGAUCCACCGAAGAAAUUGCACUUCGCAUACGAACCACGUAGAUGAUGUGCAGCGGCCUCGCCUAGAUUGCAAGAAAGGAUAGCCACUUGGAUGGCCACUUCUCACUUCCGCUUCUUCUGCCUCUUCAUCAUAAUUUUUCAUCGUGAACUUUCUUCUCCUUUUACUCCUCCACUUCUUCAAUGGCUUCUUCUUGGAUUCACUGCAUCUUCCCAUCUUCACCCUUGUCGUCGUCUUCUUCCUUACAGCAAUAUUCAUUUUAUUCCGUUUCUUGUAUCAACUACGUACAUGUCUCUUUAUAACCAGUGCCCUGGUACCUUGUAGAUACCUACUACGUCCCUUACACAUUUGCAUUGAGUGCAUUCACUGCAUUCGAGCGCAUCCACUAUGACCGCCCGAUCCCACUUGCAUCCAGCCUUUGCCCAAUGCAGUCAGUGCAUCUUCUUACACGACACGCACACGCGGGUGCACUGAAAGAAAUGCGACUUCCGUGCGGGAUAUCUUGACAAUGUCGCCAAGUGUAAAUAGAUACAGUUAAUAUAUAAAAUCAUGAUAUACACAAUUGCACGCAUACGUAAGCGAUAUUGAAAAUUAAAAAAAGCGCACAAAGUAUGUACACGAUAUACGUAUUAUCGCAAACCAUGAAACUACUGAGUAAAUUUCUCGAGCGAUCUCGAGAGUGAAAUUCAAUGAAUGAUGU